UGAAAUGAGGCCAUGCUCCCAAGAGCACUGAU
Molecule: non-coding RNA, 32 nt
Filed under: Homo sapiens (human)
Lineage: Eukaryota; Metazoa; Chordata; Mammalia; Primates; Hominidae
Source: RNAcentral